Molecule: ribosomal RNA, 277 nt
Filed under: Photobacterium phosphoreum
Lineage: Bacteria; Pseudomonadati; Pseudomonadota; Gammaproteobacteria; Vibrionales; Vibrionaceae
Description: partial 23S ribosomal RNA
Rfam family: Bacterial large subunit ribosomal RNA
Source: RNAcentral
GUUGUAUGGUUAAGUGACUAAGCGUACACGGUGGAUGCCUUGGCAGUCAGAGGCGAUGAAGGACGUAUUAACUUGCGAUAAGCCCAGAUUAGGCAGUAAAAGCCACUUGAGUCUGGGAUUUCCGAAUGGGGAAACCCACUAGCAUAAGCUAGUAUCAUUAACUGAAUACAUAGGUUAAUGAAGCGAACCGGGGGAACUGAAACAUCUAAGUACCCCGAGGAAGAGAAAUCAACCGAGAUUCCGGUAGUAGCGGCGAGCGAAACCGGAUUAGCCCUUA